GACGAGUGGCGGACGGGUGAGUAAUGCUUGGGAACUUGCCUUUGCGAGGGGGAUAACAGUUGGAAACGACUGCUAAUACCGCAUAAUGUCUUCGGACCAAACGGGGCUUUUAGCUCCGGCGCAAAGAGAGGCCCAAGUGAGAUUAGCUAGUUGGUAAGGUAACGGCUUACCAAGGCGACGAUCUCUAGCUGUUCUGAGAGGAAGAUCAGCCACACUGGGACUGAGACACGGCCCANACUCCUACGGGAGGCAGCAGUGGGGAAUAUUGCACAAUGGGGGAAACCCUGAUGCAGCCAUGCCGCGUGUGUGAAGAAGGCCUUCGGGUUGUAAAGCACUUUCAGUUGUGAGGAAAAGUUAGUAGUUAAUACCUGCUAGCCGUGACGUUAACAACAGAAGAAGCACCGGCUAACUCCGUGCCAGCAGCCGCGGUAAUACGGAGGGUGCGAGCGUUAAUCGGAAUUACUGGGCGUAAAGCGCACGCAGGCGGUUUGUUAAGCUAGA
Molecule: ribosomal RNA, 501 nt
Filed under: Alteromonas sp. WH110
Lineage: Bacteria; Pseudomonadati; Pseudomonadota; Gammaproteobacteria; Alteromonadales; Alteromonadaceae
Description: bacterial SSU rRNA
Rfam family: Bacterial small subunit ribosomal RNA
Source: RNAcentral